This 86-nucleotide transfer RNA is filed under the name Nematostella vectensis (starlet sea anemone). It matches the Rfam family "tRNA". Rfam says of the family: Transfer RNA (tRNA) molecules are approximately 80 nucleotides in length. Their secondary structure includes four short double-helical elements and three loops (D, anti-codon, and T loops). The record is from Rfam by way of RNAcentral. Lineage: Eukaryota; Metazoa; Cnidaria; Anthozoa; Actiniaria; Edwardsiidae.
GCCUCGUUAGCGCAGUAGGCAGCGCGUCAGUUUCAUAAUCAAAUCUAGAAAUCUGAAGGUCGUGAGUUCGAUCCUCACACGGGGCA